RNA transcript from Daphnia pulicaria, 772 nucleotides. RefSeq lists it as uncharacterized. The record is from RefSeq and is a predicted model, not a curated record. The transcript has 3 exons. Lineage: Eukaryota; Metazoa; Arthropoda; Branchiopoda; Diplostraca; Daphniidae.
GUUUGCUUAAAUGUAAGUAUCGAAUUCUAUAUAUGAUUUUUGAUUGUAGAUAUUAACAUUGGAAUUGGAAAUCAUGUGUGAUGUUAACAAACAACAACUUUCUUACGUACGCCAAAGAUUCUCUACUACGCCUGCAUUAUUCCGGAAUAUCAAACAUAAGAUGCAUCCGAUGAUCAGGAUCAUCACGAUCAGAGCAACAAGACUACAGGUAAUUUGGAGUAGUUGUCGUCAGGGCUUCAGUGGUCGGAACUUCAGUCGUUGGGGUUUCUUUCGUUGGCAUUUCAGUGGUAGGAAUUAAGAAAUUGUUUGGUGCGAAUGAAUUCCCCUUCUUCCAACGUGUUAUUAUUGUCUGUAUUCAGCCAUGAGAUCAUCAAUCAUCUAUCAAUAAUUGAAUAAUGCGGAAUAGUGCUACUGAUCGCACACGCUACACUUUUAUUGUUGAUGUUGGACAGGUGCUAAUUUCCGUCGCUGUUGAUUCCGACUUGGCCUUCGUGUUGGCCGCUGCCUUCGGUCCCAUUUUCAUCGUGCUGUAAGCUGAACUUCUUCUUUCCUUGCGUUUUUUUCCCCUUUCUGUUGUUACAAGUUAUUUUGCAACUCAACUUGUAUUUUUCCUCACCCAUCCCUACCGUUUCACAUUUCUAUUUUUUUCCUCUCGCGUUCAUAAUGUCGUUUGUCGUUGUGAUACUUGUCUUAUAAUUAUUUUCGUUUUCUGAAUUUAUUUUUAUAUUAUUAACACGGCAAUCCCUUCAAACAUAGCUGGCCAGAGUGAGUA